GACGAACGCUGGCGGCGUGCUUAACACAUGCAAGUCGAACGGAAAGGCCCUGCUUUUGUGGGGUGCUCGAGUGGCGAACGGGUGAGUAACACGUGAGUAACCUGCCCUUGACUUUGGGAUAACUUCAGGAAACUGGGGCUAAUACCGGAUAGGAGCUCCUGCUGCAUGGUGGGGGUUGGAAAGUUUCGGCGGUUGGGGCUGGACUCGCGGCUUAUCGGCUUGUUGGUGGGGUAGUUGCUUACCAAGGCUUUGACGGGUAGCCGGCCUGAGAGGGUGACCGGCGACAUUGGGACUAAGAGACGGACCAGACUCCUACGGGAGGCAGCAGGGGGGAGUAUUGCACAAUGGGCGGAAGCCUGAUGCAGCAACGCCGCGUGCGGGAUGACGGCCUUCGGGUUGUAAACCGCUUUCGCCUGUGACGAAGCGUGAGUGACGGUAAUGGGUAAAGAAGCACCGGCUAACUACGUG
RNAcentral lists this ribosomal RNA (468 nucleotides) under uncultured bacterium. Its description in RNAcentral is "partial 16S ribosomal RNA". It matches the Rfam family "Bacterial small subunit ribosomal RNA", at positions 28 to 507 of the family's 1533-position model. The record is from RNAcentral.